GAAUUGGCUUUACUGAAAGCCACCAAAGCUAUCCAUGUGAGAGACAU
Non-coding RNA from Clonorchis sinensis, 47 nucleotides. The record is from Rfam. NCBI's taxonomy places the organism in Eukaryota, Metazoa, Platyhelminthes, Trematoda, Opisthorchiida, Opisthorchiidae.